RNAcentral lists this ribosomal RNA (443 nucleotides) under uncultured bacterium. Its description in RNAcentral is "bacterial SSU rRNA". It matches the Rfam family "Bacterial small subunit ribosomal RNA", at positions 958 to 1399 of the family's 1533-position model. The record is from RNAcentral.
AACGCGAAGAACCUUACCUACCCUUGACAUCCUAGGAAUCCAGCAGAGACGUUGGAGUGCCUUCGGGAGCCUAGAGACAGGUGCUGCAUGGCUGUCGUCAGCUCGUGUCGUGAGAUGUUGGGUUAAGUCCCGUAACGAGCGCAACCCUUAUUCUUAGUUGCUAACAGGUUAUGCUGAGAACUCUAGGGAGACUGCCGGUGACAAGCCGGAGGAAGGUGGGGACGACGUCAAGUCAUCAUGGCCCUUACGGGUAGGGCUACACGCGUGCUACAAUGGGCGGUACAAAGGGAAGCGAAGCAGUGAUGUGGAGCGAAUCCUAUAAAAGCCGUUCUUAGUCCGGAUUGGAGUCUGCAACUCGACUCCAUGAAGUUGGAAUCGCUAGUAAUCGUAGAUCAGAACGCUACGGUGAAUACGUUCCCGGGCCUUGUACACACCGCUCGCGA